AAAUGGGUGCAGAGAUUCAGGCUGGCCAAGGCUGGCACAAGGACAUUCCCAGUGGCGAGAGCAUGAGCAAGGGUCACGGAUGUGCCAGGAGGGGAGGCGGAGAGAUGCCUGGGACCAACCUCUAUGGCAGGCCGCGGCCCAAGGGCAGGGGAGGGGUGGACGGAGGGAAGGGACAGGGUCUCCUCCGGGACCCCAGGGAGGCUGGGCCCAAGGACCAUGGAGCCUCGCAGCUGAAUGGAGCCCCCCAGGCCUGCCUUCUGUCCUGGGAACCAGGGCCUCCCUCGAGCCAGAGUCCUGAGCGCCGCUUGCCCCCCGCCCACAGCGGCCCCAGCGAGCGCGCUGCAGAGGGCGCGGGUGCCGUGACUCAGCCGAGCACCGCGAUGUCAGCGGACGCGGGACCGGACUGGACACGACCGAGCCACCUCCCCGGAGGCCGCAGCGCCGGCAGUCUCCCAGGAUCAGUCAGCCAAGAGACCCGAGAUUCUCAAAUCACGGCAGCCGCCAGAGGUGCCCCUGAAAUCACAGCUACGCCCUAGCUCAGCCCCGCCUGGAACUGUGCUCCUUUUAUCUCUGCCCAAGGUGAGGGAACUCAGGGGACCUUCCUGCUCCUGCCCCGCCCCUGCCCCCACAACCUUUGGCAUCAACCACUGUCCCCACCCCCAUCUCGGGGACUUGCUAGUCCUGGGGCUGCUGGGAGGGGUACAGCCACAAGAGGGAUGCCAAGCCAGGGCAAUAUGACGCCCCCACAGCCCACCCCACUGGUCUCCAGAGAGGCCCAGAGAUGUCCAGCUGGGCAGGCAGAGGACAGAGAGGCUCGGGCAGGCUUGGCCCAGGGCAGAGAAGGCCCAGGUGCAGGCACCCUGAGCACAGAUGGCCCCCCAGCCCCCACCCAGCUACCCAGGCCUGGGCGCUGCAGACAGCGAGUGCACUUCCCCAGAGGGCCAGGUGGCUCCUCCCACGGCAGUAUCACCCACUUCCCCCAGCUCACCACCAGCUGGGCCCUGGUCUCCCAGGAGAAUCUUACACAUUGAAGAUGUACUGUGCUCAGCUCUUUGCCGGAAGCUAAAGCUCCCAAUUGGGCCAUCCCACCCCACUCUGCCACCUCUGCCAUCUAGGAACCCAGAUGCCCGGAGAGGAGGUCUGUCCUGGGGCCCUUAGUGUCUUCCCACAGGAGCCCAGCGCGUGCCUGCAAGGGCCUGGUCCCGGAAUGAACUGUGGAUGGAGGCUGCUUUGUCCUUUUCCCCGUCCAGAUCCAUGCCCAUAGACACCGCUGACUAUAGGCUGGGCCCAGGGUCCCUUCCUCCAGCCUGCAGCAGAGGGGCUUUCCAGGCUGGAAAGGGAAGGAGUCCUUUUGUCCCUGACGCAAGCGGGUUGGGGGCCAGCACCCGCUCCAGGAAGAGGAAGGGAUCCAGCCUGAAGUCCAGACUCCCCGCUCCCUCUAAGCCAGGGCCUGGAGCCUGGAGGCCAGGUUCCUUCUUCUACACCAGCCCACGUUGGGUGCCAGCCAGGCUGGGAUGGCCCUGCGGGGUCACCCUGAGCCCCAGCCAACCAACACCCCACUCUCAGCCACAGUGGGAGGCCCCAUCAGCCUCUUCACCCAACCACGUUGCCACUCUGCUGCACGGGACCUUGUGUGGUCCCAGGCGUGGCCAGACCCAGACGUCCUGGAGAUCUCAAUGCAGACACCCGGCGGCAGUUCCUGCAGGAAGGAGGCUGUCCUGCCACGCCUGCGGGUGACCCGGCCUCUGGUGCCAGAGCCUGCCAUCCUUCCUGUUUGUGCUGCCAGGCUGGCAGGGUCCCUUGCCACCGACCUCAGCCGCAGCCACAGCCUGCUCCCUCCCUGGGUGGAUUUGAAGGAGCCUCCCCCACCCUCCGCCCCUAGCUUGCUCCUUGAGGACCCUGGGCAGGGUGGCUGCCAUGGGGCCCAAUCGUGCGUGGGAACCUGCGAGCUGGCAAACGGGGCUCGGGGGUUUUGCCCAGAAAUGGGUCAGAACGAAAGCCUCUCAGAGGAAAGAAAAGGGCAUGAGUCAAAGAGAAAGUCGGGGGGCAGGGGCUCCCCCUCAUCUCACCCCACCCAGGCCUCCUGACUCCCUGGGUUUGUGCGGACCCAGGCAGGCAGCCAACCCCAGCUCCGUGGUGUGUGAGCAUCGUGAUGAUCAGGACACAAGCUCUUCCCCGCUGAGCCUUCACUGUGGGCCAGCUUCCCGGUGGAUGCCCACUGAAGAGGCCUCAACCCAGUGGGCCCCACUCCAGACCAAGAGCAGACCAUUGGCCAGCUGCCCCCUGCAGACAGCGGCACCCGGGGCAGCAGCAAGGUGAGGGGCACCCAGCCCCAGCCCCAGGGGCGUCUCAGGGAGCGGGCUGAGCCUGGCUGUCUUCCUGAGCCCCACCUGCUUCAUGGGUUGGCUUGAGCAAGGCAGUCCAGAUGCGUGUCUCGAGCGCUCCCUGGCGGCAUGCUGCAAAGCUACAUGGCUCCGGCAACAAGGAAGACUGCCCUUAUUCUCAGUAACAGGUGGAGCUGGGGGCUGGAGAGCCCCUCGGACCUCGCCUUGGGAAAGCUGGGUGGGUGCACGGAGCCUGGCAGGUGGCCAAGGGGACCCCCAAGUGGAGGGAUUGGUCGAGGGGCAGCACAGGGUGGUGCAGUGGGUGAGCUCAGCCCCUCCCCUCCAACUCUCAUCCCAUUGAGCCCCAAGGCGUGGGGGGAUCACGUCUGUCCUUGUUCUCCUCCAGGUGGAGCUGCUGGGUGGGGCUCUGGUCCUCCAGGGACCCACUCUGCACCCCAAGUUUUGCCGGGACCCGCUCCUCUGUGUUGUGUGGCUGUAGGGGAGGGCUGCAGCCAGGGACUCUGAACCCGGGGCCGGCCCACCCAGCCACCCAGGGUGGGGAACAAGAUCGCCUCCCAGGGCCAGAAGCUGGGGAUGUCCUUGCUUCCUAGGAUGUUGGCUAGGGGAUCACACGCCCCACAUUCUGGGUCAAGCAUGGUCCUGCCCCAGCAUCUUGCUGGGUUGGGGGCAUCUCUGCACAGAUGAGUGCCACCCCAGCGUCUCCGCCAGGGUCUGGGCAUGUCACUCUUGGGCAUCUGUGCUCAGGAGGUCACCAGGUGUGGGCAGGGCACCAAGCAGGGAGGUAGCCGAGGCUGGAAGAUGCACAUCAGUGCCCCGCUGGGCUUCCUCAAGUGGGAACUGGUGGAGGGGGCGCUAGGCUGCCGGGCCAGGGUCAGCAGGCUCAGGCCGGCUCAGGGCUCAGAGUUGAGCCAGAAACCAAGGUGAAAUCUGCCUCUUACUGCCGCCAGGGCCCUUGGGACAGGGACAGGAACAGCAGAAGGUAAAGUGGAAAGGAAUUGAGUAAUGGGCCCCCAGGCAAGGCUGAGCCAGGCCCCAAGCCCAGGAUUGGGGUCUCCAGAGUCCCUGGGGGCCCCAGGGCAGCUCACCCACAGCCUGGGGCCUAUGGGAGCAAGGGGGCUCCUGAUGGGUGGGGGCAGGAGCUUGGACAAAGUUGAAGGCCUUCUGUCUGAAUUGGCCAGGGGCCAAUGAAAGCCAAAAAGCUGGUGUGGUGGCUUAUGCCUGUAAUCCCACUUUGGGAGGCCAAGGCGGGUGGAUCACCUGAGGUCAGGAGUUCGAGACCAGCCUGGUCAACAUGGUGAAACCCCAUCUCCACUAAAAAUAGCUGGGCGUGGUGGCAGGCACCUGUAUGUAAUCCCAAAUACUCGGGAGGCUGAGGCAGGAGAAUCACUUGAACCUGGGAGAUGGAGGUUGCAGAGAGCCAAGAUCAUAUCACUGCACUCCAGCCUGGCUGACAGAGUGAGAAUCUGUCUCAAAAAAAAAAAAAACAAUUCCAAAAAGGCGAGUGGGGAGCAGGGUGCUAGGCUGCAUGGGGGCCUAUGCCCCCACCGGAGGACCUAGCCCCCUGCCAACCCUUCCCCAGCUCAGGCCCACCAGCUCCCUUCUCACACAGCUGCUCUGGGAGGGAGUCCUUCCUUGCCAAUACCUAAGAGAAUGGGCAGCAGGGACCCUGAGGACAGGUUGGGGACACCCAGAACAAGAAGAAGAUGGGACACACUAGGAGGCUCUUGGGCCCCUGCGUCAGGCCAGCAGGAUAGGUGUGUAUUGUGACCUGAGGGACUGAACGUGGAGCUCCAGGGGAACCUCCCAGCCAGUGACACGCUGGCCUUGGGCCAGACGCUGCCCUGCGCCCUUGAGUGACGCUCGGGCCUCCCUGCACCCACCCGCUUUCCCUGUGGCUAAUGGCUUAGAGUGAAGGAUGGUGGGCGUGGGCGUGCCACGUGGGCUCAGCGUCCACCCUGCCCCAUGCACGCAGGCACCCAUCACACCAGGGCCCACACACAGGCUCCCAUCACACCCUGCCCCAUCACAGCAGUGCCCAGAGGGACAUGGGGCUCCCAGCUGAGGGCCAGCCCAAGGUCACAGGUGAGGAGUGAGAGGUGAGAGGCAAGGGGGCUUCCUGGUCUGGGUGGGCUGUGGCCCCCAAAACAUGUUGCUUAGGUCAAGCCAGUCUCCCCCAGCAGGGGUGAACAAUUUUCCCCCAGCCUGCCUGGCCCACCCUUUCUCCAGGGACGGUGCCCAGUGGGCCUUAUCUUCCCCAUGCCAGGUGUGAUGGUUAAUACUGUCAAUUUAAUUGGAUUGAAGGAUACAAAGUAUUGAUGCUGGGUGUGUCUGAGAGGGUGUUGCCAAAAGAGAUUAACACUAGAGUCAGUGGGCUGCGGAAGGCAGACCCACCCUUCAUCUGGUGGGCACCAUCUAAUCAGCUGCCAGCGAAUGUCAACCAGAAAAACGUGAAAAGGAGACGACAGGCCUCGCCUCCCAGCCUACAUCUUUCUCCUGUGCUGGACGCUUCCUGCCCUCGAACAUCGGACUCCAAGUUCAGCUUUGAGACUCGGGCUGGCUCUCCAUGCUCCUCAGCUUGCAGACGGCCUAUUGUGGGACCUUGUGAUCGUGUGAGUUAAUACUUAAUAAACUCCCCUUCAUAUAUA
Long non-coding RNA from Homo sapiens (human), 4990 nucleotides. Ensembl annotates it as long intergenic non-protein coding RNA 2908. The record is from Ensembl. Lineage: Eukaryota; Metazoa; Chordata; Mammalia; Primates; Hominidae.